GUGAAUCAUCAAAUUUUUGAACGCAAAUUGCGCUUCCUGGCAUCCCGGGAAGUAUGCCUGUUUGAGGGUCAGUAUUAACAAAAAAUCGGUUUGGUUGCAAAUUGUGACGUUUCCGGAGUUUGGGCUAUCUUAACUUUUUUGGUUAAGGGGCUUAAAAUUGACCUUUUUUGCGCAUUUUUAGACGUACAUAAAUUUUUUUUAUUUCGUCUUUUUUUAUGGCAAAAAUCCUUUUAGAUCGU
Molecule: unclassified non-coding RNA, 239 nt
Filed under: Glomeraceae sp.
Lineage: Eukaryota; Fungi; Glomeromycota; Glomeromycetes; Glomerales; Glomeraceae
Description: partial contains 5.8S ribosomal RNA and internal transcribed spacer 2
Rfam family: 5.8S ribosomal RNA (bases 1-71)
Source: RNAcentral